CUUACACAUGCAAGUCGAACGGCAGCCGGUGCUUGCACCUGGUGGCGAGUGGCGAACGGGUGAGUAAUACAUCGGAACAUGUCCUGUAGUGGGGGAUAGCCCGGCGAAAGCCGGAUUAAUACCGCAUACGAUCUACGGAUGAAAGCGGGGGACCUUCGGGCCUCGCGCUAUAGGGUUGGCCGAUGGCUGAUUAGCUAGUUGGUGGGGUAAAGGCCUACCAAGGCGACGAUCAGUAGCUGGUCUGAGAGGACGACCAGCCACACUGGGACUGAGACACGGCCCAGACUCCUACGGGAGGCAGCAGUGGGGAAUUUUGGACAAUGGGCGAAAGCCUGAUCCAGCAAUGCCGCGUGUGUGAAGAAGGCCUUCGGGUUGUAAAGCACUUUUGUCCGGAAAGAAAUCCUUGGUUCUAAUAUAGCCGGGGGAUGACGGUACCGGAAGAAUAAGCACCGGCUAACUACGUGCCAGCAGCCGCGGUAAUACGUAGGGUGCGAGCGUUAAUCGGAAUUACUGGGCGUAAAGCGUGCGCAGGCGGUUUGCUAAGACCGAUGUGAAAUCCCCGGGCUCAACCUGGGAACUGCAUUGGUGACUGGCAGGCUAGAGUAUGGCAGAGGGGGGUAGAAUUCCACGUGUAGCAGUGAAAUGCGUA
Molecule: ribosomal RNA, 649 nt
Filed under: uncultured beta proteobacterium
Lineage: Bacteria; Pseudomonadati; Pseudomonadota; Betaproteobacteria
Description: bacterial SSU rRNA
Rfam family: Bacterial small subunit ribosomal RNA
Source: RNAcentral